Molecule: ribosomal RNA, 402 nt
Filed under: uncultured prokaryote
Description: partial 16S ribosomal RNA
Source: RNAcentral
CCCUACGGGGUGCACCAGGGCCGGGAGGGGCUGGAGGGCAUCAUCAGGAACACCUGGCUUCCUUACACGGAGCGUAUUCCCGAAUCUUUGCGGGGCGAGUUCAUAUCCCAGAUUGCAGCAGCAUAUCUGGAGAGAUAUCCUCUGGACGAAUUCGGUCGGGCACAUGUGCAGAUGAUGCGUCUGGAGGUGGAGGCGGAAAAAGCCGCCCGGUAGAUGGUCGAAAGGUUCUUUAUGCGCCACUGGUUAUAUCCAAUUGGCUCAAGAACCGCAAAUCCAGAGGAGUUAGAUCAGAUUUUCGUCUUCGAUCGCCCGCGCCUGGGUGUCGCCGCCGCCCAGCCGCGCCCUCGUGCGCGUGCGAGCGGGCGCGGGUGGGCUCGUCCCCCGGUACUCCGGCGGGAGGGC